This 426-nucleotide ribosomal RNA is filed under the name uncultured bacterium. RNAcentral describes it as "partial 16S ribosomal RNA". It matches the Rfam family "Bacterial small subunit ribosomal RNA", at positions 354 to 796 of the family's 1533-position model. The record is from RNAcentral.
GUGAGGAAUAUUCCGCAAUGGGGGAAACCCUGACGGAGCAAUGCCGCGUGCAGGAUGAAGGCCCUCGGGUCGUAAACUGCUUUUAUAUGAGAAGAAUAUGACGGUAACAUAUGAAUAAGGGACGGCUAACUACGUGCCAGCAGCCGCGGUCAUACGUAGGUCCCAAGCGUUAUCCGGAGUGACUGGGCGUAAAGAGUUGCGUAGGCGGCGCGUUAAGCGUGAAAUGAAAUUUAUCGGCUCAACCGGUAAACUAUGUCGCGAACUGACGGGCUCGAGAGUAUGAGAGGUUACUGGAAUUUCUAGUGUAGCAGUGAAAUGCGUAGAUAUUAGAAAGAACACCAACGGCGUAGGCAGGUAACUGGCAUACAUCUGACGCUGAGGCACGAAAGCGUGGGGAGCGAACCGGAUUAGAAACCCCAGUAGUCC